ACGGGUGAGUAACGCGUAGGCAACCUGCCCGUUUGCACAGGGAUAGCCAUUGGAAACGAUGAUUAAAACCUGAUAACACCAUUUGGUUACAUGAGCAGAUGGUCAAAGAUUUAUCGGCAAAGGAUGGGCCUGCGUCUGAUUAGCUAGUUGGUAAGGUAACGGCUUACCAAGGCGACGAUCAGUAGCCGACCUGAGAGGGUGAACGGCCACAUUGGAACUGAGACACGGUCCAAACUCCUACGGGAGGCAGCAGUGGGGAAUAUUGCACAAUGGGCGAAAGCCUGAUGCAGCAACGCCGCGUGAAGGAAGAAGGCCUUCGGGUCGUAAACUUCUGUCCUUGGGGAAGAAGAACUGACGGUACCCAAGGAGGAAGCCCCGGCUAACUACGUGCCAGCAGCCGCGGUAAUACGUAGGGGGCAAGCGUUAUCCGGAAUUAUUGGGCGUAAAGAGUACGUAGGUGGCAACCUAAGCGCAGGGUUUAAGGCAAUGGCUCAACCAUUGUUCGCCCUGCGAACUGGGAUGCUUGAGUGCAGGAGAGGAAAGCGGAAUUCCUAGUGUAGCGGUGAAAUGCGUAGAUAUUAGGAGGAACACCAGUGGCGAAGGCGGCUUUCUGGACUGUAACUGACACUGAGGUACGAAAGCGUGGGGAGCAAACAGGAUUAGAUACCCUGGUAGUCCACGCCGUAAACGAUGAGCACUAGGUGUCGGGGUCGCAAGACUUCGGUGCCGUAGUUAACGCAUUAAGUGCUCCGCCUGGGGAGUACGCACGCAAGUGUGAAACU
This 782-nucleotide ribosomal RNA is filed under the name uncultured bacterium. RNAcentral describes it as "bacterial SSU rRNA". It matches the Rfam family "Bacterial small subunit ribosomal RNA", at positions 102 to 901 of the family's 1533-position model. The record is from RNAcentral.